Uranotaenia lowii is the source of this 1379-nucleotide long non-coding RNA. RefSeq lists it as uncharacterized. NCBI's taxonomy places the organism in Eukaryota, Metazoa, Arthropoda, Insecta, Diptera, Culicidae. The transcript has 5 exons. The record is from RefSeq and is a predicted model, not a curated record.
CUAGAGGUGGAAUCUGCACAGCUCAACAGUUAGGCCAAAAGAUGCAUAAUAUUUCAGAGUCGCCGAAUGAUAGAUUUUCAUACAGCCCGAGUUCCCAGACCGUGGGGAAUGCCUUUGCUGGUGUAGCGAUUGGGCCUGCAGUGCAAAUUUCGGACCAAAUUUGCCAAUGUCUGCCCACAUCAUUCACCAUUGAUGAUGGAUAAGCAAAGCGAGCAACGCGCCCCAAAAUUUUCCGGCUGUCAGCAACCCGCGUGGCUGAAAUUGUUGACAAAAAAAUCAUCUCCCGGCAAAAUGUUACUUUGUUGGGCUGGUCCGGUAGGCAACGGCAAUGGUUCCGGUGGUGCAAGGGCGCAGGUAGUCGGGUGUUUCCAGAUCGAGGAACAGGCGGCCUAGGAUGAUGAGGCCCUUGGUUCCGAAACUGAAGUGCUGAAGCUAGAAGGGAAAGGCUACGUGAAAGCCUUAGAGCAUAUAUACAAUGUAAGAAAAGGACUGGAGAAUCAAUCCAUUGAUUGAAAAAUGCGACGUUCUUUUUUUCCGAAAAGACACGAGAACCAGCAUCAUUACUGGAAAACCACGGGGCAGCAGCGACAAGAAAGGUUCAGCAGUGCUUCUUCAACACGAAGUAGGAUGGAUCGGAAGUGCCACUGCAUUUGAUACGGAAAGUGCUGCAGAAUUGGGAGCAUCCGGAAGGUGUAUCAGUUAACAUCCGCAGGUUGCGGAAGGUUAGUAUUUUAAUGAUGAAUCUAUAUAUUAUAAACAUCGUAUGGAAUUAAAUAUAUUAGAAAAUUAAAUCUCGCUUUAUAUUUAUUACGAAAAAGUAAUUGGAAAUCAAGAAAAAUAAAUAAAAUCCCAGCAUGGGCAAUCUUUUCAUUGUUGGUUAACAAAAGGUUGUAUCGUCAUCUUUUUAUGAGCGGAUCAUAAGACAACGAUAACACGUAUGAUCAACCCGUUUAAGAAAGAGUAGAAAAAAGCAAAAAAAUUGAAUGGUUACUCUACUUAACGACCCGUUCGCUGUAUCGUACAGUGUGUCCAAACGAUUCCAUUUCAUGGAAAAAAGAUUAGUUUGAUCAUACAUUAAUAAUCCAAAACUAUAAAGGUAAUCUUUUCUGUGUCUUGGAAAGAAGAUAAUAGGAAUAGUCAUUGUACAGUAUUGAUUUAUGCGGGUAAAUAUGUAAGAUGAAAUAGAAAAAUAAAAUGCAGGUAAAGAGAAAUCGAAUAACUUUAUAUGAAAUCCGAAAACUCCGCAAAAUAUUCCCUUUUGGUGCAUCCGCCAUUAACGCAUACGGUUCCCAUAACCAUCAGUAUAACGCUGGAAGAACAUUUUGUGGAAUCGUGAACUAACUAUUACUGUAAACGUUCAGUUUCAAGCAUACUUCAAA